Molecule: long non-coding RNA, 2447 nt
Organism: Medicago truncatula (barrel medic)
Lineage: Eukaryota; Viridiplantae; Streptophyta; Magnoliopsida; Fabales; Fabaceae
Exons: 2
Source: RefSeq, a predicted model, not a curated record
UUCUUCUUCUUUUUCUGUAUUUCCAAAUUCUCUCUUUCACUUCCUCUCUCUCGCCGUCUCCUUUAUGCCAACCAUCUAUACUGCUUACCUCACACGCUAACACCCCUGUUUGAAACACUCUCAUCUAUCGUCUAGCUUCAUUCCAUGACACCUCUAUUUCUCUCCUUCUCUCCCUCUCCAUGAUCGUACUUCCCUUACCAUGGCCAACCCAAUUGGUUUCUGAAUUAAGAACUUUGUUUGAAUUUGAUUAUGAUAUCCCUGCUACUAUAUAUUUGAUCUUAAUUCUACAUCUAUGAUGUUUUUGUUGCUGUAAUUUUCGUUUGCUUCAAUCAGUUUUAUGUUUUUAACUUGUUUUUCGUGUUGAUUUUAAGUUUGUAUUCCUAUUUGUUGAUGUUUAAUUGUUGAUUUCUGAACAACCUCGCGACAGGCGUAAUUGUAUUGCAGCAGGUUUUAUUCCUUUUCAUCUGCUAUGUGUGUUUUAAAACAAUUUUAGCAUCCAACGACCCUGUUUUCUUCGCUAUACAUUCGGGAUGUAUGCUUUCUUGAUAAAUCCCUCGCUACAUGUGUAAGUUUUCAUCGUUCAAUAUAUUAUAUUUUACUGAAAAAUCUAUAGUCCUGAUUUUUUCUGUAACCCUAUUAUGUUUUUACUUUUAAAUUCGAAUUAUAAAUCUUAUAAUAUGUGUAAGUUUCUUUUUUUUUUUAGGAUUCAGUUUUGGACUGCAAUUUUUCAGGUUUCUUUUCUUUCUAGGAUUUCUCUUAGUUGAGUGAGAAGAUAUGUAACAUGAAUUCUAAUACUUUUAUACUUCAGGACUGUCCUUUGUCAUUACUGUUGUUAAGCAGUGAGUAGGGUAUUGUGAAACUAUGACAAUUUUCGUUUUUUACAGUAACGGAUACACCUUGGGCUGAAAGAGUAACCUUUGUAUGUCAGUCCUUUUAUGUACAUUUAGCAAAGCUACCAAAAGAGCUGAUGUACGGUGCUGACAAUUUAGCCGAGUCAUAAGGAGGAUUGUCGUAUGGGUAGGUGAUUCGGCUGAGUCACAGAGAGUGAUUCAAUUUGAGGUAAGUAAAUUACACAGAUGUUCUGCUCCUAAAGAACUUGAAGCUCUUGAAAAUUCAAUGUCACAUUGAGAAGUGUAUAAAUUAAUGUUAUACUUAUGCUUAAUACCAACAAGCUAUUGAUUUUUCGAAUGUGCUUUAUUUUAUUGAUUUGUUUUAAGGAAUAAAUGUAAGGCUUAUUGCCAUUUGAUUCUAAUUACACGUGUUGAAUUAGUUUAUAUAUGCUAAGGUUAUCAUCAUGUAGAGAGUAUAUGCAUACAUGAAUCUAUAUAGAUGAGUUUCUACAAAUUGUGAAUUAUUUCCACUGCAUCUAUCGUUUUCUGACAGCAGGAACUGAAAUGUUGCAGAUGCUCAGCUUAAUAUAUUGAGAGUUUGUGUGCUCAAUGUAAUUCAAUUUAUAACUAAAUCAUAAUUGUACAUUGUUUAGAAAAAAAUAGCAUUUCCCUAAAAACAAUAAUUGAUGUAAUUCGAAGAGUUAUUAAAACCAACUUUGAGUAGUAUACAUUACCAUGUUCAACUCACAAACAACAAUAAUUGUAGUGCUGUUUUUUGUUUUUUCUGGUGUAUUUAAUUUUGAGCCGUCUUUUUAAAAUUGUCUUUCAUCUAUUCUUUUCCAUCUAUUCUUUUCACAAAUGCUUGCAAUAUAUGCAUGAAGUAUUUUAGAAUUCUCUAUAAAUAAAUACAAUUCUGCUACCCUUACUAAGCAUUACAAACUACAGUUUUGAUAUCCUGCUUUUCUGUUACAAACAACCUGUCCAGCAAACGGUAACUUUAUAAAAAUCAUUAUAUCUUAUGUGGGAGACUUCAUUUUUGCAUAACUAAUCCACAUCAUGCAUAUUGAAUUUCAUGAUUUUUGGAGGUUUACUGAUGCAAUAAUAUCUCAUGAUUGUCAUAUAUGUGUGGGUUCACUAAUGCAAUUUUUGGAGGUUUAUAUUGCGAGAGAAAGAUAUGUCAAUUAUUGGAGUUUCAGGACUGUUGUUGCAAGGCAUUUGGCAAACAUGUAUGGAGAUUUUUGCUUCUUUGUUGAAGUUAAAAAUACUGAAGUAGGAAGGAAGAUAAUUUAGUUGUUGGGUAUACUGGUUUAUGCAUAAAUGUAGCACGAGAUAUACUCAAUGACGAAUGAAAAAAGUGCAGAUCAUGCAAUGCAUAAGAGCAAUGGUGCAGGCGACAAAUAAAUAUUAUAAGUGUUUAUUUGUUUUUGUGCAAGAAUACUAUAAGUGUUUAUUAAUUACGUGUAUAGUUUGUGAUACAUUGGUGUUGUACUUUAAGUAUUUGGUGUAAUUCAAAGUUGUAAAUAUGCGCGGAGCAAAAGGUGUAUGAUCUAAACCUCAUUAGACUCAUACUAUUGUUCCUUAACUUAAUGAAUUUAUUUGUUGUCUUAUUCCAAAAAA